CAGGGAGACAACAAAAUGUUUAAUAUUAUUAUUUUGUCACCUUAGGUCGAUCGGUAUCUCACGUUCUUAAUUUAUUAAGAAUUUCAUUUCCUAAGUUUUUCUAGGUCACACCCAUUAUUUUUCCUGGGCCAUUAGCUCAGGUGGUUAGAGCGCACCCCUGAUAAGGGUGAGGUCCCUGGUUCAAGUCCAGGAUGGCCCAUAUCUCUAUGUUGGGGGUAUAGCUCAGUUGGUAGAGCGCCUGCUUUGCAAGCAGGAUGUCAGCGGUUCGAGUCCGCUUACCUCCACUGAUUACCACCUCUUCCAUAAUCUGUAGAAAGGAAAUGUUUUGAGUUGUGAUCAAAUUCUGAACGAAUCUAGCUUCCUAAUGAAAUCAUUAAGAUGCUGGACUCAUUGAAUUAAUUUCAUUGUUUUCAGAGAACCUUGACAACUGCAUAGAUUAUUUUUAAAGACAAUAAGCAUCUUUAAUGAUGCAGAUUUAUUAUUUGUGCGAAUGCAUUAAUAACAAUUCUAUUAAGCUGAUGCUUCAAUUUUGAAGUUAUU
Molecule: transfer RNA, 540 nt
Filed under: uncultured Prochlorococcus sp.
Lineage: Bacteria; Bacillati; Cyanobacteriota; Cyanophyceae; Synechococcales; Prochlorococcaceae
Description: partial 16S-23S ribosomal RNA intergenic spacer
Rfam family: tRNA (bases 212-284)
Source: RNAcentral